RNAcentral lists this ribosomal RNA (460 nucleotides) under uncultured bacterium. Its description in RNAcentral is "partial 16S ribosomal RNA". It matches the Rfam family "Bacterial small subunit ribosomal RNA", at positions 338 to 795 of the family's 1533-position model. The record is from RNAcentral.
CCUACGGGUGGCUGCAGUGAGGAAUAUUGGUCAAUGGACGAGAGUCUGAACCAGCCAAGCCGCGUGAAGGAUGACGGCCCUAUGGAUUGUAAACCUCUUUUAUAAGGGAAUAAAACGAGGCACGUGUCCCUUUUUGCAUGUACUUUAUGAAUAAGCAUCGGCUAACUCCGUGCCAGCAGCCGCGGUAAUACGGAGGAUCCGAGCGUUAUCCGGAUUUAUUGGGUUUAAAGGGAGCGUAGAAGGGUUGGUAAGUCAGUUGUGAAAUUGUGGGGCUCAACCGUAAAAUUGCAAUUGAUACUGGCAGUCUUGAGUACGGGAGAGGUAGGCGGAAUUCGUGGUGUAGCGGUGAAAUGCUUAGAUAUCGCGAAGAACUCCGAUUGCGAAGGCAGCUUACUAACCUGUGACUGACAUUGAUGCGCGAAAGUGUGGGUAUCAAACAGGAUUAGAUACCCUAGUAGUU